This 29-nucleotide small RNA is filed under the name Bombyx mori (domestic silkworm). Its description in RNAcentral is "ovarian small RNA-15883". The record is from RNAcentral. Lineage: Eukaryota; Metazoa; Arthropoda; Insecta; Lepidoptera; Bombycidae.
GAGGACAAUUAUGAAUCCCUUGUAAGGAA